UAGCCUAGUGGUUAAGGCUAUGGAUCGCCAUUCCAGAGACGGCGGGUUCGAUUCCUGU
Non-coding RNA from Aedes albopictus (Asian tiger mosquito), 58 nucleotides. Lineage: Eukaryota; Metazoa; Arthropoda; Insecta; Diptera; Culicidae. The record is from Rfam.